RNAcentral lists this ribosomal RNA (433 nucleotides) under uncultured bacterium. Its description in RNAcentral is "bacterial SSU rRNA". It matches the Rfam family "Bacterial small subunit ribosomal RNA", at positions 32 to 507 of the family's 1533-position model. The record is from RNAcentral.
ACGACGCUGGCGGCAGGCCUAAAACAUGCAAGUCGAACGGGUGUAGCAAUACAUCAGUGGCGCACGGGUGAGUAACGCGUGGGAACGUGCCCCUUAGUACGGGACAAUGUCGGGAAACUGACGCUAAUACCGUAUAAUAUCUCCGGAUCAAAGAUUUAUCGCUGAGGGAGCGGCCCGCGUCUGAUUAGCUAGUUGGUGAGGUAAUGGCUUACCAAGGCUACGAUCAGUAGCAGGUCUGAGAGGAUGAUCUGCCACACUGGGACUGAGACACGGCCCAGACUCCUACGGGAGGCAGCAGUUAGGAAUAUUGGACAAUGGGCGAAAGCCUGAUCCAGCCAUGCCGCGUGUGUGAUGAAGGCCCUAGGGUUGUAAAGCACUUUCGUUGGGGAUGAUAAUGACCGUACCCAAAGAAGAAGCACCGGCUAACUUCGUG